AUUGAACGCUGGCGGCAGGCCUAACACAUGCAAGUCGAGCGGUAGCACAGAGAGCUUGCUCUCGGGUGACGAGCGGCGGACGGGUGAGUAAUGUCUGGGAAACUGCCUGAUGGAGGGGGAUAACUACUGGAAACGGUAGCUAAUACCGCAUAACGUCGCAAGACCAAAGUGGGGGACCUUCGGGCCUCAUGCCAUCAGAUGUGCCCAGAUGGGAUUAGCUAGUAGGUGGGGUAACGGCUCACCUAGGCGACGAUCCCUAGCUGGUCUGAGAGGAUGACCAGCCACACUGGAAGUGAGACACGGUCCAGACUCCCACGGGAGGCAGCAGUGGGGAAUAUUGCACAAUGGGCGCAAGCCUGAUGCAGCCAUGCCGCGUGUGUGAAGAAGGCCUUCGGGUUGUAAAGCACUUUCAGCGGGGGGGAAGGCGGUGAGGUUAAUAACCUCACCGAUUGACGUUACCCGCAGAAGAAGCACCGGCUAACUCCGUGCCAGCCGCCGCGGUAA
This 504-nucleotide ribosomal RNA is filed under the name uncultured bacterium. Its description in RNAcentral is "partial 16S ribosomal RNA". It matches the Rfam family "Bacterial small subunit ribosomal RNA", at positions 29 to 523 of the family's 1533-position model. The record is from RNAcentral.